GACGAACGCUGGCGGCGUGCUUAACACAUGCAAGUCGAACGGAAAGGCCCUGCUUUUGUGGGGUGCUCGAGUGGCGAACGGGUGAGUAACACGUGAGUAACCUGCCCUUGACUUUGGGAUAACUUCAGGAAACUGGGGCUAAUACCGGAUAGGAGCUCCUGCUGCAUGGUGGGGGUUGGAAAGUUUCGGCGGUUGGGGAUGGACUCGCGGCUUAUCAGCUUGUUGGUGGGGUAGUGGCUUACCAAGGCUUUGACGGGUAGCCGGCCUGGGAGGGUUACCGGCCACAUUGGGACUGAGGGACGGCCCAGAAUCCUACGGGAGGCAGCAGUGGGGAAUAUUGCACAAUGGGCGGAAGCCUGAUGAAGCAACGCCGCGUGCGGGAUGACGGCCUUCGGGUUGUAAACCGCUUUCGCCUGUGACGAAGCGUGAGUGACGGUAAUGGGUAAAGAAGCACCGGCUAACUACGUG
Molecule: ribosomal RNA, 468 nt
Filed under: uncultured bacterium
Lineage: Bacteria
Description: partial 16S ribosomal RNA
Rfam family: Bacterial small subunit ribosomal RNA
Source: RNAcentral